GCCUGUUUAACAAAAACAUCGCCUUUUGGAUUGUAUAAAAGGUCUGGCCUGCACACUGUGAAUAAAGGGCCGCAGUAUAUUGACUGUGCAAAGGUAGCAUAAUCAUUAGUCUCUUGAUUAGGGGCUAGAAUGAAUGGUUGGAUGAGGUAAAAGCUGUCUCUUGCUAGAGGUAUGAAAUUUAGCUUUUCAGUUAAAAGGCUGAGAUGAAGUUAAAGGACGAGAAGACCCUAUAGAUCUUUAUAAAAUUAUAUAAGACUAGAAGAUGAGUUAUAGAUUUAUAAAAAUUUUAUUUGGUUGGGGUGACAAGGAAAUAAAAUAACUUUCUUUAAGAAAACACGAGUUAGUGAUUAAGAGAUCCAUUAAUAAUGAUUAAAAGAAAAAGUUACCUUAGGGAUAACAGCAUAAUCUUCUUAGAGAGUUCUAAUCGAUAGGAAGGGUUGUGACCUCGAUGUUGGAUUAAGAUUUAACUAAAGUGUAGCAGCUUUAGAUAUUGGUCUGUUCGACCAGUUGUAUCUUACAUGAUCUGAGUUCAAACCGGAGCUCC
This 544-nucleotide ribosomal RNA is filed under the name Nonnullidens sp. 25 CSC-2019. Its description in RNAcentral is "partial large subunit ribosomal RNA". It matches the Rfam family "Bacterial large subunit ribosomal RNA", at positions 1798 to 2627 of the family's 2925-position model. Lineage: Eukaryota; Metazoa; Arthropoda; Insecta; Ephemeroptera; Leptophlebiidae. The record is from RNAcentral.